ACACCAUGAGAGUUCGGAAAUACCCGAAGCCUGUGAGCCUAACAGUAAUGAGGCAGCAGUCGGAAGGUAGAGCCAAUGAUUGGGGUGAAGUCGUAACAAGGUACC
RNAcentral lists this ribosomal RNA (105 nucleotides) under uncultured bacterium. RNAcentral describes it as "partial 16S ribosomal RNA". The record is from RNAcentral.